Molecule: long non-coding RNA, 1079 nt
Filed under: Zonotrichia albicollis (white-throated sparrow)
Lineage: Eukaryota; Metazoa; Chordata; Aves; Passeriformes; Passerellidae
Description: lncRNA (ENSZALG00000004292.1)
Source: RNAcentral
UUAGAGCUGCUCUAAUGAACCAGCUCCUCUCCUCGCACACAGCUCUGCUCCCUAAAUCCAGAAUAUAUCAACUCUUCCCACACAAAGAUCCAAUAAAUGCAGCAGCAGGGAGAAAAUGCAGUUUACCCCAGGGAAAUGGUGUCAGGUGCUUUGGGCUGUCCCUGAAACUCCUCACGGAUGGGUAAGGGAGGUUUUUUAUCCUAAAUCCAUGAGAAGAAGGUGGUGGCAGCAGCACAGAUGGGAGAAUUCCUGGUUCUUUGGGGGAUUGGAGAGGAGAUGCCAGGUUAACUCCAGCUCUUUUCCAUGCAGUCAUCAGUUUGCAGCACCAGCUGCUGCUCAGCUCCUGGCCCCAGUGGGUGACAUCAAAAUAAUCCCCACAGGCUCCUUUGGGGACACACAGAGCUGCCACAGCGGUGUCACCAAGCCUGAGGAACAGCAGUGCCUGGGAAAUCAGCCCUGGGAUCAUCCAGGCCCUGCCAUGGACACGGUUUGGGCAGCGGGGGUGAGCUGGGGUUUGGGAGCUGAUGGAUUUAUCCAUUCCUUUAAAGGAUCAACGGGGCUUGGGGUGGCCCCUCUGCAUUCAGCAGCACAGCUGGCACCUGCUCCGGGCUGCAAUGGGCCAGCUGCUCCUGCAUGGAGACUGGGACAGCACCGGGAUAACACCGGGAUAAAACUGGGAUAAUCACCUGGCCAUUCCUGCAUGGAGACUGGGAUAGCACCGGGAUAACACCGGGAUAACACUGGGAUAACCACCUGGCAAUUCCUGCAUGGAGACUGGGAUAUCACUGGGAUAACACCGGGAUAACACUGGGAUAGCACCGGGAUAACACAGGAAUAGCACCGGGAUAGCACCAGGAUAGCACGGGGACAACAACUGGGUACUGACCUGGCUGUUCCUGCACAGAGACCGGGAUAACACCGGGAUAACACCAGGAUAGCAUUGAGAUAACACUGGGAUAGCACUGGGAUAACACUGGGAUAACAACCAGACACUGGCCUGGCUGCUCCUGCAUGGAGACCAGGAUAACACCGGGAUAACACCAGGAUAACAACCGGACACUGAUCUGGCCACUCCUGCA